AUGCAGGAAGCACUCGUCGUCGCGCGGGAAGACGAGCCAGCUGCCGCAGACGCCCUGGUACCCGGCGAAGCCGAAUCCCGGGAAGCGGAAGGGCUUGGCGUAGGGGAGGCUGUAGAAGGUGCCGUCCGGGAGCGCGAGCAGCGGCAGCGGCGGGUGCAGGCGGAGGAACUGUUGCGCGACGUCGCGCCACUGCGGGCACACGGCGGCGAAGCGGGCGCGGUCGGCGUACGCGGGGAGGAGGCGGAGCACCAGGCUCGCCAGGUCCAGCGGGAUGGCCGACCACGACGGCGGCGGCGAGCGCGGCUGCGUCUCCGCCAUCGGUCCUGCGAGAAUACUCAGUAG
This 342-nucleotide ribosomal RNA is filed under the name Triticum aestivum (bread wheat). Its description in RNAcentral is "partial small subunit ribosomal RNA". The record is from RNAcentral. Lineage: Eukaryota; Viridiplantae; Streptophyta; Magnoliopsida; Poales; Poaceae.